UACGUAGGGGGCUAGCGUUAUCCGGAAUUACUGGGCGUAAAGGGUGCGUAGGCGGUCUUUCAAGCCAGAAGUGAAAGGCUACGGCUCAACCGCAGUAAGCUUUUGGAACUGUAAGACUUGAGUGCAGGAGAGGAGAGUGGAAUUCCUAGUGUAGCGGUGAAAUGCGUAGAUAUUAGGAGGAACACCAGUAGCGAAGGCGGCUCUCUGGACUGUAACUGACGCUGAGGCACGAAAGCGUGGGGAGCAAACAGGAUUAGAUACCCCCGUAGUCCCU
This 274-nucleotide ribosomal RNA is filed under the name uncultured prokaryote. RNAcentral's name for it is "partial 16S ribosomal RNA". It matches the Rfam family "Bacterial small subunit ribosomal RNA", at positions 524 to 798 of the family's 1533-position model. The record is from RNAcentral.